Alexandromys fortis (reed vole) is the source of this 342-nucleotide long non-coding RNA. RefSeq lists it as uncharacterized. The record is from RefSeq and is a predicted model, not a curated record. Lineage: Eukaryota; Metazoa; Chordata; Mammalia; Rodentia; Cricetidae. The transcript is spliced from 4 exons.
AUACCGUGUCUGCAUGUAUGGAUGACAAGUGCUGAUUGCCAACUGCAGCUAUGUCAACCAGGAAUCCUUGUGGAAGUCACCAUGAGGGCUGAAGAUGAGGAAGUGGACCUUGGCAUCCCCUGCAUCCCGAUUACUUGGCUCAGAGUUCACUCUUGUCCCAGCUAAGUCCUAACUCCUGUGGUGGCCUCACCAUGCGGCUCGGGCUAGCUUCAGACUCAGGAUCCCCAUCUCUGCCCUCUGAGUGCUGAGACAGAAAAGACCAUGCAGCUGAUGAAUUUGAUGAGAAGAAGGGCCUCCUCAGCUCUGCCUACUCUGUUUCUCCUAUUUGCUUCCAGGCUACUC